Molecule: long non-coding RNA, 2199 nt
Organism: Topomyia yanbarensis
Lineage: Eukaryota; Metazoa; Arthropoda; Insecta; Diptera; Culicidae
Exons: 4
Source: RefSeq, a predicted model, not a curated record
CACAGUACAAUGGUUGCUACGAUCCCAACCGACUGUCUUUCAAUAUACGUAUACCUACAUUAGGUAGAUACCUGUUUAUUAUUACGAAUGGUGACAGCAUCAAUGCCCUCCGGACUCUCGCACAUCGUAAUCGCAAUCAGAAUCGGAGUCAGCGUGAUUUCUUCGUACCGGCUUCGGUUGCUGACAUCAUUGAAUGAGAAUCGGUUACAGUAUUUGGACUUGCUAGGAAGUUGAACGCUCACCUCACCGGUGGUAGGAGGAGAGUUGGAUGAGUCAGCUUUUGUUGCUUCCUUCGGUCGGAUUAUGAUUAGUUCCUGUAUCGCCGGCGAAGAUUUAGGAUUGAUUUGAACACGCCUGCUACGAUUUCGAUCAGAAAUAACAAACAAGCGACGCUCUCGCGUUCGCUACAGUAAAGGCCUCUAGGGGAUAUGUAGGUAUCAUGGUCACGGACGAUUAUGCUCGCAAUGUUCUCCCCGGUCGCUGUCGGUGUGUGUGAAGGUAACCUAGAUAUGGUAGAAUCGGUAACCUUCCGGCGAAACUAGAAUGCGCAGAAAGAGUGUACGCUGUUGAAUUGAGGGGAAGCCUCAUCCAUCCAUGAAUUCCGUUACGUAUAAUUAUGUAUAUCUUCCAUAUUUUAUUUAUGGAGGUCAACGUAUUCUUAGGUGUGUUUGAAAGUUCAGUUGAUUGAGUCCAUGGUUGAAUGAGAUAAAAAAACGGAACUAUAACGCUGCAUAAACAGUUUCACUAACAACCGGAGAAAACUAAGUUUCCAUUCAAGCAUACGGCUAACAGACGCCUUAUUCAAAUUCUUCGCACAUUCAAUCAACUGUUGAUUAAAGCAAAAACUGACGCACUUUUCGCUCCGUAUGGUAUCUGACUGCCUUGACCAAGUCAGGAGCACGCGAGUACAGUAGUCAGUCACUUCUAUUUUUAUGUUUUGCAAUUCUGAUUAACAAACAGAGGAUUUGUCAUUAAUUCGUUCAACAACAAGCUUUGAUUAUAAGAAUGGAAUUCACCCACCCGCUGAUCACGGCUGGCAGAGGAUAUGGUCUCUUUGUCUUCAAACACCAUCUUUCGGGUCACAAAUAGCAGAGGUAAUAGUAAUUGUUAUUAGAUGGCUCCAAUCUAUGUCUCCCUAGGUAGCCUCUAACCUCUAAAGGUGAUAACACGAAAACAUUAGGAUUAAACGCAUGUAUUAAAGAAAGAACCGAUUUGCACAAUACCCUGCUUGGUGAAUCCACCUAUGCAUCGCCAAUCGUAGCAACCCUGUUGUGUACAGAAAAAAAAAUUGACAGCGUUAUCAAUUGAUUUACAGCAGCCCUGAUGAAAACAGUCAAUCAACUACGCUCGAUGGAAUUGUUUUCUCCACCCCGAAGCGAAGAAUUUGGACAUAACAGAUCCGACAUUUUCAACAUGCUGCCACUUCUGGAAAAAGGUGAGAGCAUCGAAGGAAAACCUGCCGGGUGCUGCGCGAGCAUGAUGAGAAGAAGCCCGAUGGAAAGCGGGCAUCAUCGUUCCGCAUUUUGAGUCGGGAAGUCGCAACAAUCGAACAAACUAGUGAAGAAGUAUCUGGACAAAAUGGAUUUGGCUAUGCGGAAGUGUUAGUCGAGGCCGUUUGUGUUAAUGAUGAAUGAAACAGUAAAUAAGAAACGGAGAAAGAGAAAAUAGAACAAGAAAAUUUAUGAAAACUGAAAAGAAAAACAGAAGUAAUAAACCAGUAACACGGAGUAAGAAACGUUUACAAAGAAGUAUGAAUAACACGAAACAGGUAAGGAUUGUGGUAAAAAUAAAAAAUUAAAUUAAUAAAAAGAAAAAAAUAGCUAAAAAUUAAGGAAAUAGAAAAAGAACCAUAAAAGAAAAGAGAACUAAGAAAGCCCAUCUUUUGAUCGCUGGCGUUGGUCAAUCGUCGACACAGGCCCGGUACUGACUAAUUCAGCUUGGAUUUUGUGGGUCUUCGCAGAAUUUCCAUCUACCCACCGUAGACUCCCGUUGAUCGUUCGUCCUGGGAGAUUUCGCCGAGUAUACAGCUAACUGAUCCGUCAUUCUGCAGUUCCGAUUGAUCUCAUCUCGAGAGCAGAAAUAUUUUUCGACUUGUUCAAAGCUCUAAUUCCGUUUGGGGACACCCUUCCCGUACUCAUGAAAUCCGUUCUUGGCUGAGCUGCGUCGGUAAGGUCUUCUCGCGGUCAGCCGAUUACUGCA